This 486-nucleotide long non-coding RNA is filed under the name Ananas comosus (pineapple). Its description in RNAcentral is "long non-coding RNA (ACOM_LNC020297)". The record is from RNAcentral. Lineage: Eukaryota; Viridiplantae; Streptophyta; Magnoliopsida; Poales; Bromeliaceae.
UUAGUUUAUCUUUAUGGUAAUUAAUUUGUUUAGUGCUGUUCGAAAAAGCAUUAAUAGUUUUUGACACCAUUGCUUUAAACUAGAAAUUUUGCUUUUGGAGCUCAAAAGUUCAUUUUAGACUUCUGAUGAAGCCCGAAAUAUCAAUCGGUCAGAUUCAGGGUAAGGGCGUCAAUAGAUUGGAUAGGUAUUGAUGUCAAUGGGUUGGAUUUUGGUGGGUUUUCAUAAACCGAAUCUGAACCCGACAGUCAAACUCGAAAUUCGAAUUUGAUGGAUUUUGAUAGUCUACUACAUCCUAACUUGAACCCAAAUAAAGCCCAAACCAGUAACAUCGCAAACCCAAAAUGAUUACUUCUCUUUACCAUCUUUCGAAAUAUAUUAUAUUAAAAUCUAAAAUUUCAAAAUACAAAUUCAAAUAUAUGCAAUCAAAAAUUCAUAUAUAUUAUAUAAUAUAAAAUCAAUUCUGGUCUGGGUCAGGGUUGGGUCUGG